RNAcentral lists this ribosomal RNA (112 nucleotides) under uncultured bacterium. RNAcentral describes it as "partial 16S ribosomal RNA". It matches the Rfam family "Bacterial small subunit ribosomal RNA", at positions 1373 to 1482 of the family's 1533-position model. The record is from RNAcentral.
CCCGGGCCUUGUACACACCGCCCGUCACACCAUGGGAGUUGGUUCGACCUUAAGCCGGUAAGCUAACCCGCAAGGGAGGCAGCCGUCCACGGUCGGGUCAGCGACUGGGGUG